CUGGUUGAUCCUGCCAGUAGUCAUAUGCUUGUCUCAAAUAUUAAGCCAUGCAUGUCUAAGUAUAAGCACUUUAUACUGUGAAACUGCGAAUGGCUCAUUAAAUCAGUUAUAAUUUAUUUGAUAAUACCUUACUACUUGGAUAACCGUGGUAAUUCUAGUGCUAAUACAUGCUUUAAACCCCGACUUCUGGAAGGGGCGUAUUUAUUAGAUUAAAAACCAAUCGUAGCAAUACGUUUACAGGUGAAUCAUGAUAACUUUUCGAAUCGCAUAGCUAUGCUGGCGAUGGUUCAAUCAAAUUUCUGCCCUAUCACCUUUCGAUGGUAGUAUAGAGGACUACCAUGGGCACAACGGGUAACGGAGAAUUAGGGUUCGAUUCCGGAGAGGGAGCCUGAGAAACGGCUACCACAUCCAAGGAAGGCAGCAGGCGCGCAAAUUACCCAAUCCCGAUACGGGGAGGUAGUGACAAUAAAUAACAAUACCGGUCUUUAUAAGAUUGGUAAUUGGAAUGAGUACAAUCUAAACCUCUUAACGAGAACCAAUUGGAGGGCAAGUCUGGUGCCAGCAGCCGCGGUAAUUCCAGCUCCAAUAGCGUAUAUUAAAGUUGUUGCAGUUAAAAAGCUCGUAGUUGAAUUUUGGCCCUGGUUGGGCGGUCUACUCAAUGAGUAGUACUUCUCUGGCUGAGGCUUUCCUUUUGGCGAGCUAUAGUGCUAUUCAUUUAGUGCGAUAGGGAACCAAGACUUUUACUUUGAAAAAAUUAGAGUGUUUAAAGCAGGCUUACGCUUGAAUAUACUAGCAUGGAAUAAUAAAAUAGGACUUUGGUUUUAUUUUGUUGGUUUUCGAAACCGAAGUAAUGAUUAAUAGGGAUAGUUGGGGGCAUUCGUAUUCAGCCGUCAGAGGUGAAAUUCUUGGAUUGGCUGAAGACGAACUUCUGCGAAAGCAUUUGCCAAGGAUGUUUUCAUUAAUCAAGAACGAAAGUUAGGGGAUCGAAGACGAUCAGAUACCGUCGUAGUCUUAACCAUAAACUAUGCCGACUAGGGAUCAGACAAUGUUUAAUAAUGACUUGUUUGGCACCUUAUGAGAAAUCAAGUUUUUUGGGUUCCGGGGGGAGUAUGGUCGCAAGGCUGAAACUUAAAGGAAUUGACGGAAGGGCACCACCAGGUGUGGAGCCUGCGGCUUAAUUUGACUCAACACGGGGAAACUUACCAGGUCCAGACACAGUUAGGAUUGACAGAUUGAGAGCUCUUUCUUGAUUCUGUGGGUGGUGGUGCAUGGCCGUUCUUAGUUGGGGAGUGAUUGUCUGGUAAUUCCGUUACGAACGAGACCUUAACUGCUAAUAGUGCAUAACUUGGUGAUGAUCACUUCUAGAGGACUAUAGACGUUAGUCUAUGAAGUUGAGCAUAC
This 1401-nucleotide ribosomal RNA is filed under the name uncultured eukaryote. Its description in RNAcentral is "partial small subunit ribosomal RNA". It matches the Rfam family "Eukaryotic small subunit ribosomal RNA", at positions 4 to 1454 of the family's 1831-position model. The record is from RNAcentral.